GGGCCCGCACAAGCGGUGGAGGAUGUGGCUUAAUUCGAGGCUACGCGAAGAACCUUAUCCUAGUCUUGACAUGUAUGGAUUAACCCUGUGAAAGCAGGGCCACGCCUUCGGGUGGAACAUACACAGGUGCUGCAUGGCUGUCGUCAGCUCGUGUCGUGAGAUGUCGCGUUAAGUCGCUUAACGAGCGAAACCCUUGUCUCUAGUUGCCAGCGCGUAAUGGCGGGGACUCUAGAGAGACCGCCGGCGUUAAGCCGGAGGAAGGUGGGGAUGACGUCAAGUCCUCAUGGCCCUUAUGACUAGGGCUGGCACACGUCCUACAAUGGAACGCACAAAGGAAGCGAAACCGCGAGGUCAAGCAAAUCCCAAAAAUCGUUCCCUAGUUCGGAUUGCAGGCUGCAACUCGCCUGCAUGAAGCUGGAAUCGCUAGUAAUCG
RNAcentral lists this ribosomal RNA (433 nucleotides) under uncultured bacterium. RNAcentral describes it as "bacterial SSU rRNA". It matches the Rfam family "Bacterial small subunit ribosomal RNA", at positions 917 to 1344 of the family's 1533-position model. The record is from RNAcentral.